GUCGUAACAAGGUUUCCGUAGGUGAACCUGCGGAAGGAUCAUUAUCAAUGAUAUCCAUCAUACACCGUGAACCGCCCGCCUCCCUGGGCAACCUGGGGUCGGGCAUUAAACUCUAUACCUUAUAGCAGAGUCAAUUAGUAACACUAAUACGACAACUUUUAGCAACGGAUCUCUAGGUUCUCGCAACGAUGAAGAACGCAGCGAAUUGCGAAAAGUAAUGUGAAUUGCAUAAUUCCGUGAAUCAUCAAAUCUUUGAACGCACCUUGCGCUUGCGGGAAUUCCUGCAAGCAUGCCUGUUUGAGUAUCAGUUUACAAACUCCCCAAGGAUUUGUUCUUGGGGGACUUGGGCCCGUGGAGAACAUUUGUUUCCUCCCACCCGCCUUAAAUACAAGAGUGCUUGUCCAAAGCGCAAAUAGAGCCAGUCCGAAAGGAAUGUCUAUUGGCGACGCGAGCAGCCCCUCUGAACGGAUUUAUCCAACCAAACCCAUGAUCUCAAAUCAAGCAAGACAACCCGCUGAACUUAAGCAUAUUAAUAAGCGGAGGAAAAGAAACUAACAAGGAUUCCCCUAGUAACGGCGAGUGAGGCGGGAACAGCUCAAAUUUAAAAUCUCCUCGGAGAAUUGUAGUUUAUAAAAGCGUUAUCGAGGCCGGCCUAGGUACAAGUUCUUUGGAACAAGGCAUCAUAGAGGGUGAGAAUCCCGUCUUUGACCUAGGUACCGGCCCACUACGAUGCGUCUUUCAAGAGUCGGGUUGUUUGGGAAUGCAGCCCUAAAUUGGUGGUAUAUUUCAUCUAAAGCUAAAUAUUGGCGAGAGACCGAUAGCGAACAAGUACCGUGAGGGAAAGAUGAAAAGAACUUUGAAAAGAGAGUUAAAAGUACGUGAAAUUGCUAAAAGGGAAACAUUUGACACCAGUAUUUGGGAGUCGAAAAUCAACCUCGGUAUCGCCGGGGUGCACUUUUCGGCUCUCAGGUCAACGUCCGUUUUGUCUGCCGUAAAAAAGCCAAGAGAAGGUAGGUGCUUGCACUGUUAUAGCUCUGGCCGAUGCGGUGGACGGGACGGAGGACUGCGGUACAUGCCCUCGGGCUGGGUUUGCGGCAGCCGUGUGGGCGCGAUGUGCGGACAGCUUGCUGACCGUAUGCCGCUCCCCAUGCGCCCUGCUGUAGGACCACAAAUGUACCUAGGACGUUGACGAAAUGGUUUUAAAUGACC
RNAcentral lists this ribosomal RNA (1209 nucleotides) under uncultured fungus. Its description in RNAcentral is "eukaryotic LSU rRNA". The stretch from base 488 to 1209 matches the Rfam family "Eukaryotic large subunit ribosomal RNA", at positions 1 to 649 of the family's 3401-position model. The record is from RNAcentral. Lineage: Eukaryota; Fungi.